UUAACUACUCUGAUCUGAGUGAAAAAAAAAAAUCUGUUCUUAUCUGUUUAAUAUCUGAUACGUCUCCUAUAUGGGGACCAUAAAUUAAAUGGAUUUUUGGAACAGAGAGAUGGAAGAGCUUGCUCUGUCCACUCCACGCAUCAACCUGGUAUUGCAGUACCUCCAGGACCGGUGCACUUCUC
Molecule: small nuclear RNA, 182 nt
Filed under: Xenopus laevis (African clawed frog)
Lineage: Eukaryota; Metazoa; Chordata; Amphibia; Anura; Pipidae
Description: U2 spliceosomal RNA
Rfam family: U2 spliceosomal RNA
About the family: U2 is a small nuclear RNA (snRNA) component of the spliceosome (involved in pre-mRNA splicing).
Source: Rfam by way of RNAcentral